GCCAGCGUCCGAUUUUUUCCGUCAUGGUUUUUCCGUCAGUUUGUUCCGCGUGGCCCCCCACCCCUCCAAUCGGUUCCUCCGCCACACGUCACGGUCAGUUUCCCCGAUGCCGCUCCGCCGCCCAGCUCACAAUUCGUCGGUCGUUCUUCCGUCGCCGAUACUGGGCCUGGCGCCGCCGGCGAGCCUCUGCGUGCCCCCGCAGUCAAUCCAACGCCCUCCCGUUCCUGACGCCGCUCACUCCUCCCGUCGCCGGGUUUCCCGAAGCCGCUUCGCUGCCCAGCUCGCGAUCCGUCCGCCGUUCCUCCCGUCGCCGAUCCGGGGACUAGCACCGCCGGCCAGCUCCUGCAUGUGCCCGCAGUCAAGGCGACGACCUCUCGUUCCCGACGCCGCUCACUCCUCCCAUCGCCGUUCUGGGAGACCGAUCUGCCGUCGAUCCUCCUCCGGCCUACCUUCUGAUCAGGAGGUGCUGCGUCACCAUCUACCCGUGCUAGAGAACUGUUGAAGGAGAGAAGGGAAGGCAAGGCAAGGCAGCCUCUAUCUGGCUCAGAGGAAGAGCUCCCGAGGCCUCAAGAUGCACGCAGGGAGAAGGUUCGUAGCGGGGCAGAGGAAGAGCUCCCGAGGCCUCAAGAUGCACGUAGGGAGAAGGUUCGUGGCGGGGCAGAGCAGGCCAGGUAUGGAUCGGUUCCUGAUUUAGAAUCCUGCCGCAGUUCAUGAUCUAAUCAGUGUAUACAUGCAUUAGCCGGACGUUCUCUGUAGCCUGAGUUGAUGUUAUAGCUUUGGGAAAAAUGGUAGACACUACCUGAAACUAUUAUUUGCACUGUUGUUGAUAUGUUAUCAUGCCCUGUUCUACUCCUGCUCUCUGUUUCUUGAGGUUUAGAAUAGUUAGAACCCAAUUAGGCAGUAGAGAGAUUCAAAGAUCUUCUCUACUUGUUAGGUGGUUCUUCAGUGAAUCGAGAUUGACUAGUGGCCUCGACGAGGAAAGCACUAAAGAACACAAGGUUAGAAAAUACUAAAAGAUUUUGCCAAAGAUCUUUCAGGCAGAUAUAUUAAAAAUUGAUCAGCACUUGUAAAAAGACCGUAUCCAGCUAGUUGAUUUUAUGCUGAUCAUCCAGUCCAGAUAUUGUCACUGUCCAUGUUAGGGGAAGUAUCCUGAUGCUUUUAGGUGAUUCAUAAUUCUCUUUAUUUCCUCCUUUUUAAAGAGUUGAAAUGAAAUUACCAGUGAAAUCUGUAUGUCGCAAGAGUUUUUUUUCUUCAUUGCAUCGAUUUGAUCACCAACCUUACAUCACGCUUGUGAGAAUUUUCUCUUUUUUCCCCCUGCUCGUCGGGUCCGUUGGAGCCUUCCGGUGUGUCUGUCCAUGAUAUUGUCCUAUCCGGCUAUCCCCAAAACAUGAUCUACCUUUCUUGCAACCUGGAAGGCUUGUCCGUACUCUAUCUAGUACAGAUGAGUCAGCCACCUUCUCCAUUGAUGAAAAUGUCACAUGGGAAUUAUUAUAAACUUUGAAAAAGUGAAAUCCAACGGUGAAGAUUUUUAAACAGCCAAUCUCAUUUUCAACCUAAUUUGCUAGUAUGACUUUCUAUUUUCUUUACAUGUUUAGAAUACAAAAUGAAUUUUAUCCGGAAAACAUUUGGUGAUACAUUCCAUUACAGCAUUAUGUAUACACUUUAGUGACGGUUGGGAUGGGAUUUUAUGCUUAAGCCGCAGAUAUGUCGGAUUACCAUUCACUGUCAUGUUUUGAUGAUUAGGAUCCUUCAUGGCUCUUCUGGGAUCUGCUCGUGUUCAUGCGUUGUAUGUCAGCUCUCAAUGUCUAUUGCACGGAAGCAUGCUUCCCUGAAUAGCUGUCAUUGUUUCCAAGUUAAAUCAAAUGCCAACCUUGAAUGGAAUUUAAGAAAUGUGGAUAAUCAAAUGCUAUAUCGGAUCAGUUCUAUAAUUUGCAACCAUUGUGUCGUACACAGUGGUAUUCUUUCUUGCUGGUCCACUCAAAUUUAAAUUGUGGCCAUUGUGAUAGCUCAGUUUCAGCUGGCUGCUCAGUGGGGUGUGAUUUUUGUCAUGAACUAUUGACAUCUGCCUGCAGCUCCAAGCCUCCAAGAUCGCAUUAGAGCAGAUUGGUCAGAACCAAAAAGCUUGACUUUUUUUUUUGCAUUAUGGAUGACUUCCAAACAAGCUAUCAGAUGAUGUUGAAGGCUGAAAGAUCUCGACAGAAGUGUGGUAGACAUCCAUUUGCAUGCCUGUGAUGUAAUCCUUUCUAAGCCUUCUAGCAUCAUAUGCUUGUGCCUGAUGCAGGUGAAGGCUGGUGAACACAUGCUAUUCCGUUCCUUCAUUUGUAUGGCAAUCAUUGGCUUGAUUCUAGAUUUAAGAUAUGUAUCUACAAUGAGAUAACGACAUUUGCAAAUAAAAGUCUCUAAUGCUGAGAAUUUUACUCAA
Molecule: long non-coding RNA, 2422 nt
Organism: Panicum virgatum (switchgrass)
Lineage: Eukaryota; Viridiplantae; Streptophyta; Magnoliopsida; Poales; Poaceae
Exons: 2
Source: RefSeq, a predicted model, not a curated record